CAGUAGCCACGGUAAUACGGAGGGUGCGAGCGUUAAUCGGAAUAACUGGGCGUAAAGGGCACGCAGGCGGUGACUUAAGUGAGGUGUGAAAGCCCCGGGCUUAACCUGGGAAUUGCAUUUCAUACUGGGUCGCUAGAGUACUUUAGGGAGGGGUAGAAUUCCACGUGUAGCGGUGAAAUGCGUAGAGAUGUGGAGGAAUACCGAAGGCGAAGGCAGCCCCUUGGGAAUGUACUGACGCUCAUGUGCGGAAGCGUGGGGAGCAAACAGGAUUAGAGACCCGAGUAGUCCCUGUCUCUUAUAC
Molecule: ribosomal RNA, 301 nt
Filed under: uncultured bacterium
Lineage: Bacteria
Description: partial 16S ribosomal RNA
Rfam family: Bacterial small subunit ribosomal RNA
Source: RNAcentral